This 99-nucleotide transfer RNA is filed under the name Nonomuraea coxensis DSM 45129. Its description in RNAcentral is "tRNA-Ser". Lineage: Bacteria; Bacillati; Actinomycetota; Actinomycetes; Streptosporangiales; Streptosporangiaceae. The record is from RNAcentral.
UCGGCGAGCUGGACGAACAGGCGCGGGUCUGGAGUCUGCUGAACUCCGAGCCGUCGCCGCCGGAGAACGCCGGGGCGCUCAGGGACGUCCUGGCGGGAC